CCAGCUGCUGCCAGCCUGCGGACCCAGGGGAAGUCCACAGCCUCGUGCCUGUGGAUCCUCCCCAGCUCACAGGAAACCCCUAAGAAAAGGGCCACAGCACCCACAGAGCGACGCCACCCACCGGCUCCAAAAUGUGUACGGGCACCGGCAGCUGGGGAACCUCUCGCCACAGGGCACGUCUGUAUUCACCACCGUUUUGAAGGGCUGUGGGAUGAAGAAGCUCUUGGAGACGCAAGGGAUGGAAUCGGAUGGGAGGAGGGAAGUGCGACGCACGUGCAGAUGAGGGGGACAAGAAAGCAGACUCCCCUUUUUAACGUCGUUAUUUUGACGCAUUUCAAAACUCAAAACAUUCUGUGUACCUCGCAGCAGAUUAGAUGUAAACGCUUGUUGGUAUUUAUAUGCCCUACAGUUUUAUUUCAUUUAAUAGCGUUUUCACCUUGAAGGAGGUUCAUUAAACUUGAUUUGCUGCAGUUUGCAACCCAGUAGAUAAUCUGCAGGCUGUUGACACCGUAAUACUGUGAUGGUGUGUAUGCCAUUAAAAAUGGCCCAGAAGUGUCCGUCUAUAGAUCCUCAACGCAAUACAUUGUGUCAGUGUACAGUAUAGAUCCUUUAAUCCAUAGACUAUUAUUAAAAUAGUGGAUUAAGGAGUUGUUUGGGAUCAGACCCUGCUGUAUAUGUAACAAAACAGUUUAGCUGAGAUUAGUAUUUAUUACUGGACAGAAAAAUUGAUUGAAGGAUUCGUAGACGCUGAUAAUAUCACAGCCUGGGAGACAUUAAUGUAUUUGAUUAUUGUUUUUUUUUGCCAUACGAGUCCUUGUUAAGGCCUGAGAAUAAAAUAGUAACUUUUAGUGAAAAUGUAAAAAACUAAAUAACUGGAGUAAAUCUAUUAUGUAUUAAAAUAGUUUUACUUCAUGCUAAUAUAAAAUACGGUGUUUAGAUGCUUUAAAACACAGCGUAUGAGAAUGUGCAUGGAAAGGACAUUCAGACUUGUGAAAUACUAACUUAAA
Molecule: long non-coding RNA, 1007 nt
Organism: Cygnus olor (mute swan)
Lineage: Eukaryota; Metazoa; Chordata; Aves; Anseriformes; Anatidae
Exons: 3
Source: RefSeq, a predicted model, not a curated record